RNAcentral lists this long non-coding RNA (555 nucleotides) under Numida meleagris (helmeted guineafowl). Its description in RNAcentral is "lncRNA (ENSNMEG00000014988.1)". The record is from RNAcentral. Lineage: Eukaryota; Metazoa; Chordata; Aves; Galliformes; Numididae.
GCUCUGUGGGGCAGCCAGGAAGGUGCCCCUUCGUGGGAGCCAGGGCUGUCUUCGCACAUGACUUGAGAGAGGCUGUUCCUAGAAGAAAGGAGCUCUCAGGGGCUGGUUCUUGGGACUUGAGAGUCCAAAGAGAGGUGUGUAGUCGGGGAUUCCCAUGGCAACAGGCUCAUGGGAGCUGCCAAGGCAAAAAGGGAAGGUGAAUGCAAGGUGAAGUACAGAAAAUGCCUGGGAGAGGUGGCAGGAGGAGGCAGCAGCUGUGAUGCCUGCAUCUCCUCGGGAGCUGGUCCUGGGGGUGGUGAGUCUCUCGAAAUCUCUUGGUGGAAAACUUCAGUUUUACCUGGGGAAAGAAACUGCCCUUUAGCUGCAACUUUACAUUUAAAAGAGAAAAGUGUUUUAUGCUUGAAUUUUCUGGCACCAGUUCCUGUGGCUUUAAAGAAAAGUGCCACUGUGAGAGAAGUCUGGAAAACCUUAGAAGUGGACCGGUGCAGGAAAUAUCGAGAUGGGCUGAGCCAUGACCAGGAGCCAUCUAGGUGCAGGAUGCCUAGAGACGAAUGA